This 598-nucleotide ribosomal RNA is filed under the name Dolichomastix tenuilepis. RNAcentral's name for it is "partial Bacterial large subunit ribosomal RNA". It matches the Rfam family "Bacterial large subunit ribosomal RNA", at positions 520 to 1118 of the family's 2925-position model. The record is from RNAcentral. Lineage: Eukaryota; Viridiplantae; Chlorophyta; Mamiellophyceae; Dolichomastigales; Dolichomastigaceae.
AGCACCCCGACGAGGGGAGUGAAACAGUACCUGAAACCGAACGCCUACAAUCAGUUGGAGGCCCCUUGAGGGCUGACAGCGUACCUUUUGUAUAAUGGGUCAUCGACUUGGUCUAUCUAGCAAGCUUAAGCCGUUAGGUGUAGGCGCAGCGAAAGCGAGUCUGAAUAGGGCGCAUGAGUUAGAUGGAUCAGACCCGAAACCGAGUGAUCUAGGCAUGGCCAGGUUGAAGGUUGGGUAACACCAACUGGAGGACCGAACCCACAUCCGUUGAAAAGGAUCGGGAUGAGCUGUGCCUAGGGGUGAAAGGCCAAUCAAACUCGGAGAUAGCUGGUUCUCUGCGAAAUCUAUUUAGGUAGAGCGUCAUCCGAAUACCCUCGGGGGUAGAGCACUGGAUGGGUAAUGGGGCCCCACAGGCUUACUGAUCCUAACCAAACUCCGAAUACCGGGGAGUACUAGAUGGCAGACACACAGCGGAUGCUAACGUCCGUUGUGGAGAGGGAAACAACCCUGACCUACAGCUAAGGCCCCCAAUUCAUGGCUAAGUGGGAAAGCAGGUGGGACGACCAAAACAACCAGGAGGUUGGCUUAGAAGCAGCCA